Molecule: long non-coding RNA, 497 nt
Organism: Trachymyrmex septentrionalis
Lineage: Eukaryota; Metazoa; Arthropoda; Insecta; Hymenoptera; Formicidae
Exons: 3
Source: RefSeq, a predicted model, not a curated record
AGGAUGCAUCGUCUGGAACAAAAAAUAAUUCGUUGAGAUUAAAAAAUAACCCCUAGGGCAAGUUUUCUAAACUACUGGAAAAGAAAAUAUGUUAAAAACGUUUUUAACUGAUUCUUUAGAUAGCUUAGAAAGUCCAUUUAAAAGAAGAAAUUUCGUUGCCGUGAUUAAGAGAGGACCUACGGUCGAGAAAUUACUCCACUUAUACGUCUAUGCUGUACGACGGUCUCGGGAGGACUCCGCUUGCAACUAAUUUUUGGUGCUUAUCACGUUCCCGUCCAGCGGUCCUUUUUCAUUUUGCCCCCAUGGAUUCUCUGCGGUAACUCUAUCCUGUGGUUUCUAAUAAUAUUACGUGACUCUAAUCUCGAAAUAAUAAUCGAGAUCCUUGUUAUGUAAAAAAAAUCACAUUUUUGUGACCAGUUUUUUGAAGUUGAAAACUUUUCCAAGUAUGCGGGCGGUUAGGACUUUUAAUAUGUUUAUAAUAUGUCAUUCAAACAAUA